GAUGAACGCUGGCGGCGUGCCUAAUACAUGCAAGUCGAGCGAACAGACGAGGAGCUUGCUCCUCUGACGUUAGCGGCGGACGGGUGAGUAACACGUGGAUAACCUACCUAUAAGACUGGGAUAACUUCGGGAAACCGGAGCUAAUACCGGAUAAUAUAUUGAACCGCAUGGUUCAAUAGUGAAAGACGGUUUUGCUGUCCCUUAUAGAUGGAUCCGCGCCGCAUUAGCUAGUUGGUAAGGUAACGGCUUACCAAGGCAACGAUGCGUAGCCGACCUGAGAGGGUGACCGGCCACACUGGACCUGAGACACGGUCCAGACUCCUACGGGAGGCAGCAGUAGGGAAUCUUCCGCAAUGAGCGAAAGCCUGACGGAGCAACGCCGCGUGAGUGAUGAAGGUCUUCGGAUCGUAAAACUCUGUUAUUAGGGAAGAACAAAUGUGUAAGUAACUAUGCACGUCUUGACGGUACCUAAUCAGAAAGCCACGGCUAACUACGUG
RNAcentral lists this ribosomal RNA (497 nucleotides) under uncultured bacterium. Its description in RNAcentral is "partial 16S ribosomal RNA". It matches the Rfam family "Bacterial small subunit ribosomal RNA", at positions 28 to 507 of the family's 1533-position model. The record is from RNAcentral.